RNAcentral lists this ribosomal RNA (449 nucleotides) under uncultured bacterium. Its description in RNAcentral is "partial 16S ribosomal RNA". It matches the Rfam family "Bacterial small subunit ribosomal RNA", at positions 29 to 523 of the family's 1533-position model. The record is from RNAcentral.
AACGAACGCUGGCGGCAGGCUUAACACAUGCAAGUCGAACGAGAUCUUCGGAUCUAGUGGCAGACGGGUGAGGAACACGUGGGAACAUCCCUUUCAGUUCGGAAUAACGUUGGGAAACUAACGCUAAUACCGGAUACGUCCUUCGGGAGAAAGAUUUAUCGCUGAAAGAUUGGCCCGCGUCUGAUUAGCUAGUUGGUGAGGUAACGGCUCACCAAGGCUACGAUCAGUAGCUGAUCUGAGAGGAUGAUCAGCCACAUUGGGACUGAGACACGGCCCAAACUCCUACGGGAGGCAGCAGUGGGGAAUAUUGGACAAUGGGCGCAAGCCUGAUCCAGCCAUGCCGCGUGAGUGAUGACGGCCUUCGGGUUGUAAAGCUCUUUUGUCCGAGAAGACAAUGACUGUACCGGAAGAAUAAGCCCCGGCAAACUUCGUGCCAGCAGCCGCCGUAG